CCUACGGGUGGCAGCAGUGGGGCAUAUUGCGCCAUGGGCGAAAUCCUGACGCAGCGACGCCGCGUGAGGGAUGAAGGUCUUCGGAUCGUAAACCUCUGUCAGCAGGGAAGCACGGUCACUGUGCUAAUCAUCAAUGAAUUGACUGUACCUUCACAGGAAGCACCGGCUAACUCCGUGCCCGCAGCCGCGGUAAUACGGAGGGUUCGAGCGUUACUCGUAAUUACGGGGCGUAAAGCGCGCGUAGGCGGUAUGUCAAGUCAAGGGUGAAAUCCCCGGGCUAAACGUGGGAACUGCCUUUGAAACGGGCAAACUGGAGUGUGUGAGGGGAUAGUGGAAUUCCAGGUGUAGGAGUGAAAUCCGGAGAUAUCUGGAGGAACAUCAGUGGCGAAGGCGACUAUCUGGCACAUAACUGACGCUGAGGAGCGAAAGCGUGGGUAGCAAACAGGAUUAGAUACCCCAGUAGUC
This 465-nucleotide ribosomal RNA is filed under the name uncultured bacterium. RNAcentral's name for it is "partial 16S ribosomal RNA". It matches the Rfam family "Bacterial small subunit ribosomal RNA", at positions 338 to 795 of the family's 1533-position model. The record is from RNAcentral.